Talpa occidentalis (Iberian mole) is the source of this 1992-nucleotide long non-coding RNA. RefSeq lists it as uncharacterized. NCBI's taxonomy places the organism in Eukaryota, Metazoa, Chordata, Mammalia, Eulipotyphla, Talpidae. The record is from RefSeq and is a predicted model, not a curated record. The transcript has 6 exons.
GCCCCCAGCCUUAGGCAUUCUCCAAAAGUUAACCUCAUUAACAUAACAAGACACUCUUUAACAUCCUCAACACUUCAGAAAUUCCAAAGGGUGCUGUGAGACAGGAACUAUGGGUAAAGAUCAGAUAAUGCCUACCAGGGAUUCGGGAAAAAAAAAAGAGAAAGAGAGAGAGAUAAUAUUGAAAGGACCACUGUGUACUCAGGGAACUCUUAAUGAGGAAGAAGAAGGUUUAAUUGUUUAUCAGUCCAUCUUCUCAUGCUGAAAAUCAGUUCACUGCUGGCAUUUAUCAACCAUAAUAUGAUUGAUCACCUAUGAAUUCACUACACAAUGUAAGAAAUAAAAUAAAAAUAAAGUGAAACGUUUAGUAAAAGUGCAAAAGAAAAACACCCAAUACACCAGUCCCUGAAGUUGUUGUCUGGGACCCUCUCAGAUGACUCCAUGAGGAGGCACAGCCUAUGCGGACACACCAGUUAACAAAGCUCCCACCAAAUAUUUUUCACCAAAUUGAGCGAAAGAACAGGUCAAGAAUGAACUGUAGUGGUGCUUAAAAGACAAGAUGGCCUUUCUGCUUCCUUCUUCCUUUCCUCAAAAACUGAAUGAAGUGUUGUUAGAAGACACCAUACUGCUGAGUUAAUGUAACCUAAAAAUUUACAGCAGGUUGUAUGCCUGGAGGCACAUUAUGGGACCACCUGUAGGCAUCUAAUUCCGCUGAAAAUAAUAAAUAAUUGUGGAGAAUUCCUCAGAGUGUAGAGGAGAGUGGAUAAGAAUCGUGUUGCUGGUUCACUCCAACACGGAUUCUGUUGUGAAGGAGGAUUAGAGAACUGUAGUCUCUCCAACAAAUAUGAGUAAUCCUCUCUACAAAAGAGUCUGCUAAAUGCAACACCAGACACCUGGGUGCCAGAUCUACACAGCCAUUUCUGGGGAAUUUUUGAUAAUCCACCUGCAGAAAUUGUCACAUGGCAAUUGCUUAAUAUAGCACAUCGAUCCAUUUGAAGACUUUUUUUUUUUUUACAGUAAAGAAAGUUAUUUUGUCUCUCUGCAUCCUUGUUUAUCUCUAAAGUCUUCUCCUAUUCGGCAGUGUUAGAGAGUGACAGUAAAAAUAUCCCUGAUGUGAUUCCAAGCAUUUAUUUGGAAGAAAUUAAUAUGUGCAUUUUAGCAAUACUGAACCACCUUGACCUUUUUGGACUGGAAGUUAAAAUUAAUUUGCUGAAGAGCUGCUUUAAGGAAAAAGCCAAACAGUUUGUUUGUUGUGCUUUUGCUACAAGUUUCGACGUAGGAAUUCAGUCUUUGCAGCCCCGGGAACAACCACCACCAAGCUGGGAGGAAACCGGGUAUUAGUGUUCCAGGAGGUUCUUGCCAAGCCUAGUAGAACCUUCUGGGCAUCUGGUACGGUCUUGUUCACAGCAUUUUCUCCUCCCACCUUUGAAGCGCCACCACCGGGCGUGCCCUGGCGUCUUGCAAGCGGGAGAGGGAAGUUGCAGAGCUGCGUGGUCCGCCGCCCGCAAGAGCUGAGAGAGCUCAAGACUUGGCCCGCAUCUUCUACAGUGGAUCUGCUUCCCCAAGCUCCACCUUGGGGUUCUGAACUCCUACCACAUCCGGUUGUCCUCAGUUGUGCGGGGAUGCUCGAGGCAGUCAGUCGGCAGGUGGUUGCAUGCUCUUCGCUAGGAGGGGAUCAAUUCCGUCAUUUUUUAAUCGUCCAUUAAUACUCGAAAUAAACAAAAACUAGAAGCAGACGGAGGGAGGGGCUCGCUCCUCCGCUCGCCCCUUAGCAGCAGACCUGAGAAGGGGUACGUGCCUUGGGUUUGUUGGUGUUUGAGACUCGUCCUAAAGGCAGAGGCAGGGAAGACAGCGCUGAAGAGGUGUCCCACACAAACUGGACGGCCGAACAGUCACUGCCUGCCCCAACCACUUUCAGGAAGGUUCCAGUUCUGUGUCACACCGCAACCAAUCCAGUCCCCAUCCUGUUUCUCCUCCCCUUCGCGGAGAAUCCGA